GUAGCUCCGCUAGCUCUCAAACUCGAGGGCUAAGCGCCAAUAACUACUCGACGUGGCUCCUACGGCUCACCUGGCGCAUAAGCUCGGGGGCUGGAUGUCGCAAAACUACUCAGAUAAUGACUUGUUUGAAGACUAAAGACUCUUGGAUUGAUUAAUUAAUCAUUCCAAGACUCGGGGGCUGAUAAGCUACACCCAACAGUUGAUUUUUUUCAAGAUGAAAUAAGAAGAUUCAAG
This 234-nucleotide long non-coding RNA is filed under the name Setaria italica (foxtail millet). RNAcentral's name for it is "long non-coding RNA (SITA_LNC003045)". The record is from RNAcentral. Lineage: Eukaryota; Viridiplantae; Streptophyta; Magnoliopsida; Poales; Poaceae.